This 2440-nucleotide ribosomal RNA is filed under the name Escherichia coli. RNAcentral describes it as "partial 23S ribosomal RNA". It matches the Rfam family "Bacterial large subunit ribosomal RNA", at positions 524 to 2925 of the family's 2925-position model. Lineage: Bacteria; Pseudomonadati; Pseudomonadota; Gammaproteobacteria; Enterobacterales; Enterobacteriaceae. The record is from RNAcentral.
CCCCGGCGAGGGGAGUGAAAAAGAACCUGAAACCGUGUACGUACAAGCAGUGGGAGCACAGAGCAAUCUGUGUGACUGCGUACCUUUUGUAUAAUGGGUCAGCGACUUAUAUUCUGUAGCAAGGUUAACCGAAUAGGGGAGCCGAAGGGAAACCGAGUCUUAACUGGGCGUUAAGUUGCAGGGUAUAGACCCGAAACCCGGUGAUCUAGCCAUGGGCAGGUUGAAGGUUGGGUAACACUAACUGGAGGACCGAACCGACUAAUGUUGAAAAAUUAGCGGAUGACUUGUGGCUGGGGGUGAAAGGCCAAUCAAACCGGGAGAUAGCUGGUUCUCCCCGAAAGCUAUUUAGGUAGCGCCUCGUGAAUUCAUCUCCGGGGGUAGAGCACUGUUUCGGCAAGGGGGUCAUCCCGACUUACCAACCCGAUGCAAACUGCGAAUACCGGAGAAUGUUAUCACGGGAGACACACGGCGGGUGCUAACGUCCGUCGUGAAGAGGGAAACAACCCAGACCGCCAGCUAAGGUCCCAAAGUCAUGGUUAAGUGGGAAACGAUGUGGGAAGGCCCAGACAGCCAGGAUGUUGGCUUAGAAGCAGCCAUCAUUUAAAGAAAGCGUAAUAGCUCACUGGUCGAGUCGGCCUGCGCGGAAGAUGUAACGGGGCUAAACCAUGCACCGAAGCUGCGGCAGCGACACUGUGUGUUGUUGGGUAGGGGAGCGUUCUGUAAGCCUGUGAAGGUGUGCUGUGAGGCAUGCUGGAGGUAUCAGAAGUGCGAAUGCUGACAUAAGUAACGAUAAAGCGGGUGAAAAGCCCGCUCGCCGGAAGACCAAGGGUUCCUGUCCAACGUUAAUCGGGGCAGGGUGAGUCGACCCCUAAGGCGAGGCCGAAAGGCGUAGUCGAUGGGAAACAGGUUAAUAUUCCUGUACUUGGUGUUACUGCGAAGGGGGGACGGAGAAGGCUAUGUUGGCCGGGCGACGGUUGUCCCGGUUUAAGCGUGUAGGCUGGUUUUCCAGGCAAAUCCGGAAAAUCAAGGCUGAGGCGUGAUGACGAGGCACUACGGUGCUGAAGCAACAAAUGCCCUGCUUCCAGGAAAAGCCUCUAAGCAUCAGGUAACAUCAAAUCGUACCCCAAACCGACACAGGUGGUCAGGUAGAGAAUACCAAGGCGCUUGAGAGAACUCGGGUGAAGGAACUAGGCAAAAUGGUGCCGUAACUUCGGGAGAAGGCACGCUGAUAUGUAGGUGAAGUCCCUCGCGGAUGGAGCUGAAAUCAGUCGAAGAUACCAGCUGGCUGCAACUGUUUAUUAAAAACACAGCACUGUGCAAACACGAAAGUGGACGUAUACGGUGUGACGCCUGCCCGGUGCCGGAAGGUUAAUUGAUGGGGUCAGCGCAAGCGAAGCUCUUGAUCGAAGCCCCGGUAAACGGCGGCCGUAACUAUAACGGUCCUAAGGUAGCGAAAUUCCUUGUCGGGUAAGUUCCGACCUGCACGAAUGGCGUAAUGAUGGCCAGGCUGUCUCCACCCGAGACUCAGUGAAAUUGAACUCGCUGUGAAGAUGCAGUGUACCCGCGGCAAGACGGAAAGACCCCGUGAACCUUUACUAUAGCUUGACACUGAACAUUGAGCCUUGAUGUGUAGGAUAGGUGGGAGGCUUUGAAGUGUGGACGCCAGUCUGCAUGGAGCCGACCUUGAAAUACCACCCUUUAAUGUUUGAUGUUCUAACGUGGACCCGUGAUCCGGGUUGCGGACAGUGUCUGGUGGGUAGUUUGACUGGGGCGGUCUCCUCCUAAAGAGUAACGGAGGAGCACGAAGGUUGGCUAAUCCUGGUCGGACAUCAGGAGGUUAGUGCAAUGGCAUAAGCCAGCUUGACUGCGAGCGUGACGGCGCGAGCAGGUGCGAAAGCAGGUCAUAGUGAUCCGGUGGUUCUGAAUGGAAGGGCCAUCGCUCAACGGAUAAAAGGUACUCCGGGGAUAACAGGCUGAUACCGCCCAAGAGUUCAUAUCGACGGCGGUGUUUGGCACCUCGAUGUCGGCUCAUCACAUCCUGGGGCUGAAGUAGGUCCCAAGGGUAUGGCUGUUCGCCAUUUAAAGUGGUACGCGAGCUGGGUUUAGAACGUCGUGAGACAGUUCGGUCCCUAUCUGCCGUGGGCGCUGGAGAACUGAGGGGGGCUGCUCCUAGUACGAGAGGACCGGAGUGGACGCAUCACUGGUGUUCGGGUUGUCAUGCCAAUGGCACUGCCCGGUAGCUAAAUGCGGAAGAGAUAAGUGCUGAAAGCAUCUAAGCACGAAACUUGCCCCGAGAUGAGUUCUCCCUGACCCUUUAAGGGUCCUGAAGGAACGUUGAAGACGACGACGUUGAUAGGCCGGGUGUGUAAGCGCAGCGAUGCGUUGAGCUAACCGGUACUAAUGAACCGUGAGGCUUAACCUUACAACGCCGAAGGUGUUU